GGGGAUGCAAUGGUUUCGACGGGGAUUUUGAAAGUCGGGAUAGCCAUUAGAAAUGGGUAAUUCUUUAAAAACCCAAAACUUUUAAAAAUAAACGACAAAAAUAAUUUUGCGUUAGCAGCCUAAGUUGCUGCUCAUCAACCCUAGUCUUCUCACCUACUAGGUGUUUGGUGUCGACUUGGUGAGGCACUUUUUCUACAAAGCUUUGAGUAGAGGAAAGAUUUUAUGAAGCUACUGAGGUAUAAAGCCUGUUUGUCGGCGUUAUAACGAGGGAAUGUUAAAAGAUAAACUGUAAUGGGAGAAGUCCUGACCGACGGAUUUUCGGACAGGGGUUCAAUUCCCCUCAUCUCCACUA
This is a non-coding RNA of Eubacterium sp. CAG:274, 352 nucleotides long. It matches the Rfam family "transfer-messenger RNA". Rfam says of the family: Bacterial tmRNA, also known as 10Sa RNA or SsrA, is named for its dual tRNA and mRNA-like properties. Its role is to liberate the mRNA from a stalled ribosome. NCBI's taxonomy places the organism in Bacteria, Bacillati, Bacillota, Clostridia, Eubacteriales, Eubacteriaceae. The record is from Rfam.